Molecule: ribosomal RNA, 273 nt
Filed under: uncultured bacterium
Lineage: Bacteria
Description: partial 16S ribosomal RNA
Rfam family: Bacterial small subunit ribosomal RNA
Source: RNAcentral
UACGAAGGGGGCUAGCGUUGUUCGGAAUCACUGGGCGUAAAGGGUGCGUAGGCGGAUUCUUAAGUCAGGGGUGAAAUCCCGAGGCUCAACCUCGGAACUGCCUUUGAUACUGGGGAUCUUGAGUCCGGAAGAGGUGAGUGGAACUGCGAGUGUAGAGGUGAAAUUCGUAGAUAUUCGCAAGAACACCGGUGGCGAAGGCGGCUCACUGGUCCGGAACUGACGCUGAGGCACGACAGCGUGGGGAGCAAACAGGAUUAGAUACCCGUGUAGUCC